GGAGCAUUUGGUGAGGUACCAUUUAUGUGAGGCAGUCCCAAAUGUUUGGCACAUUUAUGGGAAGCAUCCUGAUGAAGGAUUUACAGUGGUUUCUUCUAACUGGGAUCACUCCUAGGUCUAGUACUAAUAAAGAGAAGAAGAUCGGAGCAGCUUUGACAUGAAUGGAUCCAUCUGGCCUGGUCUCCAUACAAGUUUCCUAUGAGUUUGGUCACAGACCCUUCAAGCAAUUGUUUAAAUGAGAAGAUGCUACAUUUUCAAGCAGAGACUGAUUCACUGUAGCUUAAUAAAUUUUUACUGAGCCC
This 302-nucleotide long non-coding RNA is filed under the name Homo sapiens (human). RNAcentral's name for it is "HSALNT0035370". Lineage: Eukaryota; Metazoa; Chordata; Mammalia; Primates; Hominidae. The record is from RNAcentral.